Molecule: non-coding RNA, 339 nt
Organism: Paramuricea clavata
Lineage: Eukaryota; Metazoa; Cnidaria; Anthozoa; Malacalcyonacea; Plexauridae
Source: the annotation of a GenBank genome assembly
AUUAUUCUGAAAAUCCCACUGUUCUCCAUGCCAUCCAGUCAUGAUCCAGUGAUCAAAAUGUUCCAUUGUCUUUUCAUUGUUUUGAAAAUCCCACUGUUCUCCAUGCCAUCCAGUCAUGAUUCAGUGAUCAGAAUGUUCCAUUGUAUUUUCAUUGUUUUGAAAAUCCCACUGUUCUCCAUGCCAUCCAGUCAUGAUUCAGUGAUCAGAAUGUUCCAUUGUCUUUUCAUUGUUUUGAAAAUCCCGCUGUUCUCCAUGCCAUCCAGUCAUGAUCCAGUGAUCAAAAUUUUCCAUUGUCUUUUCAUUAUUUAGAGAAUCUCGCUGUUCUCCAUGCCAUCCAGU